This 105-nucleotide small nucleolar RNA is filed under the name Fukomys damarensis (Damara mole-rat). RNAcentral describes it as "Small nucleolar RNA SNORA77 (ENSFDAG00000001693.1)". The record is from RNAcentral. Lineage: Eukaryota; Metazoa; Chordata; Mammalia; Rodentia; Bathyergidae.
GCAUAUUAAUGAUGGUCUACUGUUUUUCUUAGUGCUAGAAAAAUACUGCUGGUUCUGUGGCUGCCUUGACCUGUGGGGGUGAUGCAGUUACCCAAGGACACAGGG